This 320-nucleotide ribosomal RNA is filed under the name uncultured eukaryote. RNAcentral's name for it is "partial 18S ribosomal RNA". It matches the Rfam family "Eukaryotic small subunit ribosomal RNA", at positions 1470 to 1796 of the family's 1831-position model. The record is from RNAcentral.
CCCUUAGAUGUUCUGGGCCGCACGCGCGCUACACUGAACAGUUCAACAAGUCUUAACCUCGGCCGAUAGGUCUGGGUAAUCUUUGAACGCUGUUCGUGAUUGGGAUAGACCUUUGCAAUUAUGGGUCUUCAACGAGGAAUUCCUAGUAAACGCAAGUCAUCAGCUUGCAUUGAUUACGUCCCUGCCCUUUGUACACACCGCCCGUCGCACCUACCGAUUGAAUGGUCCGGUGAAAUCUCGGGACGGCGGCUUGGUCGCUUGCGUCCGACUGCUGAAACUUGAUUAAACCAUAUCAUUUAGAGGAAGGUGAAGUCGUAACA